UACGUAGGGUGCAAGCGUUGUCCGGAAUUAUUGGGCGUAAAGAGCUCGUAGGCGGUCUGUCGCGUCGGCUGUGAAAACUCGGGGCUCAACUCCGAGCUUGCAGUCGAUACGGGCAGGCUAGAGUUCGGCAGGGGGAGACUGGAAUUCCUGGUGUAGCGGUGAAAUGCGCAGAUAUCAGGAGGAACACCGGUGGCGAAGGCGGCUCUCUGGGACGGUACUGACGCUGAGACGCGAAAGCGUGGGGAGCGAACAGG
RNAcentral lists this ribosomal RNA (254 nucleotides) under uncultured bacterium. RNAcentral describes it as "partial 16S ribosomal RNA". It matches the Rfam family "Bacterial small subunit ribosomal RNA", at positions 524 to 776 of the family's 1533-position model. The record is from RNAcentral.